Molecule: ribosomal RNA, 112 nt
Filed under: Solitalea koreensis
Lineage: Bacteria; Pseudomonadati; Bacteroidota; Sphingobacteriia; Sphingobacteriales; Sphingobacteriaceae
Source: RNAcentral
UCAGGUGCCUAUAGCGUUGGUGUCCACCUCUUCCCAUUCCGAACAGAGCAGUUAAGCCCAACAGCGCCGAUGGUACUGCGGUAAAACGUGGGAGAGUAGGUCGGUGCCGAUC